UAAGGAUAUGUGCAACCUAUCUACAUCUGCAUGUUUAAAGUUCUGUAAAUAAGUUACAUAAACAAACAGAAGAUGGACUCAGUGAAGUGAUCCAGAUGAAGAUUUCCAAGGGUCAACAAUAAAUGCACAAAUGCAAAAAGAUACAGUGAGCUCUGAAGUGGACGGAAAUGACAGGAAGAGUUAAAAGAUAUUGUAACUGUACUGAAAAAAGAACUGGUAUUAUCAACAUAUGAUGAAUAUUCUACCGAAUGCCAACAAAAACUAUAAGCCAUUAUUGCAG
Pecten maximus is the source of this 280-nucleotide long non-coding RNA. RefSeq lists it as uncharacterized. Lineage: Eukaryota; Metazoa; Mollusca; Bivalvia; Pectinida; Pectinidae. The transcript is spliced from 2 exons. The record is from RefSeq and is a predicted model, not a curated record.